GCAGGAGUGCUGGAAUUGGCAGACAGGCUAGAUUGAGGGUCUAGUGUCCGAAAGGUCGUGUGGGUUCAAGUCCCAUCUCCUGCACCA
Molecule: transfer RNA, 87 nt
Filed under: Clostridia bacterium
Lineage: Bacteria; Bacillati; Bacillota; Clostridia
Also listed under: 1 other name
Description: tRNA-Leu
Rfam family: tRNA
About the family: Transfer RNA (tRNA) molecules are approximately 80 nucleotides in length. Their secondary structure includes four short double-helical elements and three loops (D, anti-codon, and T loops). Further hydrogen bonds mediate the characteristic L-shaped molecular structure. tRNAs have two regions of fundamental functional importance: the anti-codon, which is responsible for specific mRNA codon recognition, and the 3' end, to which the tRNAs corresponding amino acid is attached (by aminoacyl-tRNA synthetases). tRNAs cope with the degeneracy of the genetic code in two manners: having more than one tRNA (with a specific anti-codon) for a particular amino acid; and 'wobble' base-pairing, i.e. permitting non-standard base-pairing at the 3rd anti-codon position.
Source: RNAcentral